GACGAACGCUGGCGGCGUGCUUAACACAUGCAAGUCGAACGGAAAGGCCCUGCUUUUGUGGGGUGCUCGAGUGGCGAACGGGUGAGUAACACGUGAGUAACCUGCCCUUGACUUUGGGAUAACUUCAGGAAACUGGGGCUAAUACCGGAUAGGAGCUCUUGCUGCAUGGUGGGGGUUGGAAAGUUUCGGCGGUUGGGGAUGGACUCGCGGCUUAUCAGCUUGUUGGUGGGGUAGUGGCUUACCAAGGCUUUGACGGGUAGCCGGCCUGAGAGGGUGACCGGCCACAUUGGGACUGAGAGACGGCCCAGACUGCUACGGUAGGCAGCAGUGGGGAAUAUUGCACAAUGGGCGGAAGCCAGAUGCAGCAACGCCGCGUGCGGGAUGACGGCCUUCGGGUUGUAAACCGCUUUCGCCUGUGACGAAGCGUGAGUGACGGUAAUGGGUAAAGAAGCACCGGCUAACUACGUG
This 468-nucleotide ribosomal RNA is filed under the name uncultured bacterium. Its description in RNAcentral is "partial 16S ribosomal RNA". It matches the Rfam family "Bacterial small subunit ribosomal RNA", at positions 28 to 507 of the family's 1533-position model. The record is from RNAcentral.